AACGCGAAGAACCUUACCUGGGCUUGACAUGUACAAAGUAAAAACCCGAAAGGGCAAUGACCUGUAAAAUCAGGAAUGUGCACAGGUGCUGCAUGGCUGUCGUCAGCUCGUGCCGUGAGGUGUUGGGUUAAGUCCCGCAACGAGCGCAACCCUCGUGCUAUGUUGAUUUCUCAUAGCAGACUGCCCUCUAAAAAGGGGAGGAAGGUGAGGAUGACGUCAAGUCAUCAUGGCCCUUACGCCCAGGGCUACACACACGCUACAAUGGGGUGGACAACGGGUUGCUAAGCCGCGAGGCGGAGCCAAUCCCACCAAAACACCCCUCAGUUGGGAUUGCAGGCUGCAACUCGCCUGCAUGAACGUGGAGUUGCUAGUAACCGCAGGUCAGCACUACUGCGGUGAAUACGUUCCCGGGCCUUGUACACACCGGUACUA
RNAcentral lists this ribosomal RNA (432 nucleotides) under uncultured bacterium. RNAcentral describes it as "bacterial SSU rRNA". It matches the Rfam family "Bacterial small subunit ribosomal RNA", at positions 958 to 1398 of the family's 1533-position model. The record is from RNAcentral.